Molecule: non-coding RNA, 837 nt
Organism: Salmo salar (Atlantic salmon)
Lineage: Eukaryota; Metazoa; Chordata; Actinopteri; Salmoniformes; Salmonidae
Source: RefSeq, a predicted model, not a curated record
AGCAGCGGGCCGGGGUCCUCGUCAGAGGAGACGAGGUCAGUAGCGGCGGGCCGGGGUCCUCGUCAGAGGGGACGAGGUCAGUAGCGGCGGGCCGGGGUCCUCGUCAGAGGAGACGAGGUCAGUAGCGGCGGGCCGGGGUCCUCGUCAGAGGAGACGAGGUCAGUAGCGGCGGGCCGGGGUCCUCGUCAGAGGAGACGAGGUCAGUAGCGGCGGGCCGGGGUCCUCGUCAGAGGAGACGAGGUCAGUAGCGGCGGGCCGGGGUCCUCGUCAGAGGAGACGAGGUCAGUAGCGGCGGGCCGGGGUCCUCGUCAGAGGAGACGGGGUCAGUAGCGGCGGGCCGGGGUCCUCGUCAGAGGAGACGGGGUCAGUAGCGGCGGGCCGGGGUCCUCGUCAGAGGGGACGGGGUCAGUAGCGGCGGGCCGGGGUCCUCGUCAGAGGGGACGGGGUCAGUAGCGGCGGGCCGGGGUCCUCGUCAGAGGGGACGGGGUCAGUAGCGGCGGGCCGGGGUCCUCGUCAGAGGAGACGGGGUCAGUAGCGGCGGGCCGGGGUCCUCGUCAGAGGAGACGAGGUCAGUAGCUGCUUAGUAACUAUUAAACCCACCAAAAUCAAAGUUUAGUCAUUUCUAACAUGUACUGCCCUAUUUUUUUGUAUGAAAAGGGGAUAUAAAAUGCAAGGUUAAUGUCAUGUGAAGUUUAAUAACUUUAGUUUUUGAUAAAAUAUGUGAAAAGUCCAGACAGGGCGUAUUGGGUACUGUGUACCCAUUAAGCCCAUGGGUGUGCCAAAUAAACCCACCUUCUUAAAUAAUCCAUUUGAAUUAAUUUCCCUUACAAACUGGCA